AGAGUUUGAUCCUGGCUCAGGACGAACGCUGGCGGCGUGCUUAACACAUGCAAGUCAAGGGGGCCCGCAAGGGCAACCGGCGAACGGGUGCGUAACACGUGAGCAACCUACCGAGAUGUGGGGGAUAGCCGGCCCAACGGCCGGGUAAUACCGCAUACGAUUGCUUGGGGGAGUCCCCGGGCAAGGAAACCCGCAAGGGGCAUUUCGAGGGGCUCGCGGCCUAUCAGCUAGUUGGCGGGGUAAUGGCCCACCAAGGCGACGACGGGUAGCUGGUCUGAGAGGAUGGCCAGCCACAUUGGGACUGAGAAACGGCCCAGACUCCUACGGGAGGCAGCAGUGGGGAAUCUUGCGCAAUGGCCGAGAGACUGACGCAGCGACGCCGCGUGUGGGAGGACGCCCUUCGGGGUGUAAACCACUGUUGCCCGGGACGAACAUCCACUUUCGAGUGGACUGACGGUUCCGGGUGAGGAAGCACCGGCUAACUCCGUGCCAGCAGCCGCGGUAAU
RNAcentral lists this ribosomal RNA (506 nucleotides) under uncultured soil bacterium. Its description in RNAcentral is "bacterial SSU rRNA". It matches the Rfam family "Bacterial small subunit ribosomal RNA", at positions 8 to 524 of the family's 1533-position model. The record is from RNAcentral.